RNAcentral lists this ribosomal RNA (466 nucleotides) under Streptococcus thermophilus. RNAcentral's name for it is "bacterial SSU rRNA". It matches the Rfam family "Bacterial small subunit ribosomal RNA", at positions 90 to 543 of the family's 1533-position model. Lineage: Bacteria; Bacillati; Bacillota; Bacilli; Lactobacillales; Streptococcaceae. The record is from RNAcentral.
GAUGAGUUGCGAACGGGUGAGUAACGCGUAGGUAACCUGCCUUGUAGCGGGGGAUAACUAUUGGAAACGAUAGCUAAUACCGCAUAACAAUGGAUGACACAUGUCAUUUAUUUGAAAGGGGCAAUUGCUCCACUACAAGAUGGACCUGCGUUGUAUUAGCUAGUAGGUGAGGUAAUGGCUCACCUAGGCGACGAUACAUAGCCGACCUGAGAGGGUGAUCGGCCACACUGGGACUGAGACACGGCCCAGACUCCUACGGGAGGCAGCAGUAGGGAAUCUUCGGCAAUGGGGGCAACCCUGACCGAGCAACGCCGCGUGAGUGAAGAAGGUUUUCGGAUCGUAAAGCUCUGUUGUAAGUCAAGAACGGGUGUGAGAGUGGAAAGUUCACACUGUGACGGUCGCUUACCAGAAAGGGACGGCUAACUACGUGCCAGCUGCCGCGGUAAUACGUAGGUCCCGAGCGUUG